This 73-nucleotide transfer RNA is filed under the name Actinophytocola xinjiangensis. RNAcentral describes it as "Actinophytocola sp. QAIII60 tRNA". It matches the Rfam family "tRNA". From Rfam's summary of the family: Transfer RNA (tRNA) molecules are approximately 80 nucleotides in length. Their secondary structure includes four short double-helical elements and three loops (D, anti-codon, and T loops). Further hydrogen bonds mediate the characteristic L-shaped molecular structure. tRNAs have two regions of fundamental functional importance: the anti-codon, which is responsible for specific mRNA codon recognition, and the 3' end, to which the tRNAs corresponding amino acid is attached (by aminoacyl-tRNA synthetases). tRNAs cope with the degeneracy of the genetic code in two manners: having more than one tRNA (with a specific anti-codon) for a particular amino acid; and 'wobble' base-pairing, i.e. permitting non-standard base-pairing at the 3rd anti-codon position. Lineage: Bacteria; Bacillati; Actinomycetota; Actinomycetes; Pseudonocardiales; Pseudonocardiaceae. RNAcentral also lists the same sequence under 3 other names. The record is from Rfam by way of RNAcentral.
GCCGCUGUAGCUCAAUCGGUAGAGCACUCGCCUUGUAAGCGAACGGUUGCGGGUUCAAGUCCUGUCAGCGGCU